UACGUAGGGUCCGAGCGUUGUCCGGAGUUACUGGGCGUAAAGCGCGCGCAGGCGGCGGUGUAAGCAUGGCGUGAAAGCCCCUGGCUUAACCAGGGAGGGUCGUCGUGGACUGCACCGCUUGAGGGCGGUAGGGGCUGGUGGAAUGCCUGGUGUAGUGGUGAAAUGCGUAGAGAUCAGGCGGAACACCCGUGGCGAAGGCGGCCAGCUGGGCCGUCCCUGACGCUGAGGCGCGAAGGCGUGGGGAGCGAACAGG
RNAcentral lists this ribosomal RNA (253 nucleotides) under uncultured bacterium. Its description in RNAcentral is "partial 16S ribosomal RNA". It matches the Rfam family "Bacterial small subunit ribosomal RNA", at positions 524 to 776 of the family's 1533-position model. The record is from RNAcentral.